RNAcentral lists this ribosomal RNA (2902 nucleotides) under Escherichia coli. Its description in RNAcentral is "bacterial LSU rRNA". It matches the Rfam family "Bacterial large subunit ribosomal RNA". Lineage: Bacteria; Pseudomonadati; Pseudomonadota; Gammaproteobacteria; Enterobacterales; Enterobacteriaceae. The record is from RNAcentral.
UUAAGCGACUAAGCGUACACGGUGGAUGCCCUGGCAGUCAGAGGCGAUGAAGGACGUGCUAAUCUGCGAUAAGCGUCGGUAAGGUGAUAUGAACCGUUAUAACCGGCGAUUUCCGAAUGGGGAAACCCAGUGUGAUUCGUCACACUAUCAUUAACUGAAUCCAUAGGUUAAUGAGGCGAACCGGGGGAACUGAAACAUCUAAGUACCCCGAGGAAAAGAAAUCAACCGAGAUUCCCCCAGUAGCGGCGAGCGAACGGGGAGCAGCCCAGAGCCUGAAUCAGUGUGUGUGUUAGUGGAAGCGUCUGGAAAGGCGCGCGAUACAGGGUGACAGCCCCGUACACAAAAAUGCACAUGCUGUGAGCUCGAUGAGUAGGGCGGGACACGUGGUAUCCUGUCUGAAUAUGGGGGGACCAUCCUCCAAGGCUAAAUACUCCUGACUGACCGAUAGUGAACCAGUACCGUGAGGGAAAGGCGAAAAGAACCCCGGCGAGGGGAGUGAAAAAGAACCUGAAACCGUGUACGUACAAGCAGUGGGAGCACGCUUAGGCGUGUGACUGCGUACCUUUUGUAUAAUGGGUCAGCGACUUAUAUUCUGUAGCAAGGUUAACCGAAUAGGGGAGCCGAAGGGAAACCGAGUCUUAACUGGGCGUUAAGUUGCAGGGUAUAGACCCGAAACCCGGUGAUCUAGCCAUGGGCAGGUUGAAGGUUGGGUAACACUAACUGGAGGACCGAACCGACUAAUGUUGAAAAAUUAGCGGAUGACUUGUGGCUGGGGGUGAAAGGCCAAUCAAACCGGGAGAUAGCUGGUUCUCCCCGAAAGCUAUUUAGGUAGCGCCUCGUGAAUUCAUCUCCGGGGGUAGAGCACUGUUUCGGCAAGGGGGUCAUCCCGACUUACCAACCCGAUGCAAACUGCGAAUACCGGAGAAUGUUAUCACGGGAGACACACGGCGGGUGCUAACGUCCGUCGUGAAGAGGGAAACAACCCAGACCGCCAGCUAAGGUCCCAAAGUCAUGGUUAAGUGGGAAACGAUGUGGGAAGGCCCAGACAGCCAGGAUGUUGGCUUAGAAGCAGCCAUCAUUUAAAGAAAGCGUAAUAGCUCACUGGUCGAGUCGGCCUGCGCGGAAGAUGUAACGGGGCUAAACCAUGCACCGAAGCUGCGGCAGCGACGCUUAUGCGUUGUUGGGUAGGGGAGCGUUCUGUAAGCCUGUGAAGGUGUGCUGUGAGGCAUGCUGGAGGUAUCAGAAGUGCGAAUGCUGACAUAAGUAACGAUAAAGCGGGUGAAAAGCCCGCUCGCCGGAAGACCAAGGGUUCCUGUCCAACGUUAAUCGGGGCAGGGUGAGUCGACCCCUAAGGCGAGGCCGAAAGGCGUAGUCGAUGGGAAACAGGUUAAUAUUCCUGUACUUGGUGUUACUGCGAAGGGGGGACGGAGAAGGCUAUGUUGGCCGGGCGACGGUUGUCCCGGUUUAAGCGUGUAGGCUGGUUUUCCAGGCAAAUCCGGAAAAUCAAGGCUGAGGCGUGAUGACGAGGCACUACGGUGCUGAAGCAACAAAUGCCCUGCUUCCAGGAAAAGCCUCUAAGCAUCAGGUAACAUCAAAUCGUACCCCAAACCGACACAGGUGGUCAGGUAGAGAAUACCAAGGCGCUUGAGAGAACUCGGGUGAAGGAACUAGGCAAAAUGGUGCCGUAACUUCGGGAGAAGGCACGCUGAUACGUAGGUGAAGUCCCUCGCGGAUGGAGCUGAAAUCAGUCGAAGAUACCAGCUGGCUGCAACUGUUUAUUAAAAACACAGCACUGUGCAAACACGAAAGUGGACGUAUACGGUGUGACGCCUGCCCGGUGCCGGAAGGUUAAUUGAUGGGGUUAGCGCAAGCGAAGCUCUUGAUCGAAGCCCCGGUAAACGGCGGCCGUAACUAUAACGGUCCUAAGGUAGCGAAAUUCCUUGUCGGGUAAGUUCCGACCUGCACGAAUGGCGUAAUGAUGGCCAGGCUGUCUCCACCCGAGACUCAGUGAAAUUGAACUCGCUGUGAAGAUGCAGUGUACCCGCGGCAAGACGGAAAGACCCCGUGAACCUUUACUAUAGCUUGACACUGAACAUUGAGCCUUGAUGUGUAGGAUAGGUGGGAGGCUUUGAAGUGUGGACGCCAGUCUGCAUGGAGCCGACCUUGAAAUACCACCCUUUAAUGUUUGAUGUUCUAACGUUGACCCGUGAUCCGGGUUGCGGACAGUGUCUGGUGGGUAGUUUGACUGGGGCGGUCUCCUCCUAAAGAGUAACGGAGGAGCACGAAGGUUGGCUAAUCCUGGUCGGACAUCAGGAGGUUAGUGCAAUGGCAUAAGCCAGCUUGACUGCGAGCGUGACGGCGCGAGCAGGUGCGAAAGCAGGUCAUAGUGAUCCGGUGGUUCUGAAUGGAAGGGCCAUCGCUCAACGGAUAAAAGGUACUCCGGGGAUAACAGGCUGAUACCGCCCAAGAGUUCAUAUCGACGGCGGUGUUUGGCACCUCGAUGUCGGCUCAUCACAUCCUGGGGCUGAAGUAGGUCCCAAGGGUAUGGCUGUUCGCCAUUUAAAGUGGUACGCGAGCUGGGUUUAGAACGUCGUGAGACAGUUCGGUCCCUAUCUGCCGUGGGCGCUGGAGAACUGAGGGGGGCUGCUCCUAGUACGAGAGGACCGGAGUGGACGCAUCACUGGUGUUCGGGUUGUCAUGCCAAUGGCACUGCCCGGUAGCUAAAUGCGGAAGAGAUAAGUGCUGAAAGCAUCUAAGCACGAAACUUGCCCCGAGAUGAGUUCUCCCUGACCCUUUAAGGGUCCUGAAGGAACGUUGAAGACGACGACGUUGAUAGGCCGGGUGUGUAAGCGCAGCGAUGCGUUGAGCUAACCGGUACUAAUGAACCGUGAGGCUUAACCUU